This 253-nucleotide ribosomal RNA is filed under the name uncultured bacterium. RNAcentral describes it as "partial 16S ribosomal RNA". It matches the Rfam family "Bacterial small subunit ribosomal RNA", at positions 524 to 776 of the family's 1533-position model. The record is from RNAcentral.
UACGGAGGGGGCUAGCGUUGUUCGGAAUUACUGGGCGUAAAGGGCGCGUAGGCGGCGCGAUAAGUUGGGCGUGAAAGGCCCGGGCUCAACCCGGGGACUGCGCUUGAGACUGGCACGCUCGAGUUCGGGAGAGGAUGGUGGAAUUCCCAGUGUAGAGGUGAAAUUCGUAGAUAUUGGGAAGAACACCGAUGGCGAAGGCAGCCAUCUGGACCGACACUGACGCUGAGGCGCGAAAGCGUGGGGAGCAAACAGG